UGCCAGCCGCCGCGGUAAUACGAGGGGUGCUAGCGUUGUCCGGAUUCACUGGGUUUAAAGGGUGCGUAGGCGGAAAUUUAAGUCAGUGGUGAAAGCCUACAGCUUAACUGUAGAAUUGCCAUUGAAACUGAAUUUCUUGAAUCUAAUUGAAGUAGGCGGAAUAUGACAUGUAGCGGUGAAAUGCUUAGAUAUGUCAUAGAACACCGAUAGCGAAGGCAGCUUACUAAGUUAGUAUUGACGCUAAUGCACGAAAGCGUGGGGAGCGAACAGGAUUAGAUA
Molecule: ribosomal RNA, 279 nt
Filed under: uncultured bacterium
Lineage: Bacteria
Description: partial 16S ribosomal RNA
Rfam family: Bacterial small subunit ribosomal RNA
Source: RNAcentral